RNAcentral lists this ribosomal RNA (497 nucleotides) under uncultured bacterium. RNAcentral's name for it is "partial 16S ribosomal RNA". It matches the Rfam family "Bacterial small subunit ribosomal RNA", at positions 28 to 507 of the family's 1533-position model. The record is from RNAcentral.
GAUGAACGCUGGCGGCGUGCCUAAUACAUGCAAGCCGAGCGAACGGACGAGAAGCUUGCUUCUCUGAUGUUAGCGGCGGACGGGUGAGUAACACGUGGAUAACCUACCUAUAAGACUGGGAUAACUUCGGGAAACCGGAGCUAAUACCGGAUAAUAUUUUGAACCGCAUGGUUCAAAAGUGAAAGACGGUCUUGCUGUCACUUAUGGAUGGAUCCGCGCUGCAUUAGCUAGUUGGUAAGGUAACGGCUUACCAAGGCAACGAUGCAUAGCCGACCUGAGAGGGUGAUCGGCCACACUGGAACUGAGACACGGUCCAGACUCCUACGGGAGGCAGCAGUAGGGAAUCUUCCGCAAAGGGCGAAAGCCUGACGGAGCAACGCCGCGUGAGUGAUGAAGGUCUUCGGAUCGUAAAACUCUGUUAUUAGGGAAGAACAUAUGUGUAAGUAACUGUGCACAUCUUGACGGUACCUAAUCAGAAAGCCACGGCUAACUACGUG